RNAcentral lists this ribosomal RNA (497 nucleotides) under uncultured bacterium. RNAcentral's name for it is "partial 16S ribosomal RNA". It matches the Rfam family "Bacterial small subunit ribosomal RNA", at positions 28 to 507 of the family's 1533-position model. The record is from RNAcentral.
GAUGAACGCUGGCGGCGUGCCUAAUACAUGCAAGUCGAGCGAACAGACGAGGAGCUUGCUCCUCUGACGUUAGCGGCGGACGGGUGAGUAACACGUGGAUAACCUACCUAUAAGACUGGGAUAACUUCGGGAAACCGGAGCUAAUACCGGAUAAUAUAUUGAACCGCAUGGUUCAAUAGUGAAAGACGGUUUUGCUGUCACUUAUAGAUGGAUCCGCGCCGCAUUAGCUAGUUGGUAAGGUAACGGCUUACCAAGGCAACGAUGCGUAGCCGACCUGAGAGGGGGAUCGGCCACACGGGAACUGAGACACGGUCCAGACUCCUACGGGAGGCAGCAGUAGGGAAUCUUCCGCAAUGGGCGAAAGCCUGACGGAGCAACGCCGCGUGAGUGAUGAAGGUCUUCGGAUCGUAAAACUCUGUUAUUAGGGAAGAACAAAUGUGUAAGUAACUAUGCACGUCUUGACGGUACCUAAUCAGAAAGCCACGGCUAACUACGUG